Molecule: long non-coding RNA, 522 nt
Organism: Echinops telfairi (small Madagascar hedgehog)
Lineage: Eukaryota; Metazoa; Chordata; Mammalia; Afrosoricida; Tenrecidae
Exons: 2
Source: RefSeq, a predicted model, not a curated record
GACGAUGGGAUCAGAAGGCAAAUUCCAUUUGAACGCACAGCAGCCAAAGGGCAUGAAAGAGUCCUUAAGGACGAUCCCCGAAAAAUCAAAGAUUCUAUAAGAAUGGGAGGCCGAACCUGUAAUUCCAGGGGACAUCAGAAGCCAAUGACAGCUGCCAUCCCUCAGGAUGGAGGUCUGCAGGAGAAACCUCAGAAGCAACGUGAAGCAAAGUGACAGCCCGUCGCCAAGACCAUGACAACACGAUGCUGCUUAUGUUUGCUGGCUGUGGCUCCACCCCACACUUCCUCCGGGGACAUGGCUACGGACACACACAAUCUAUUCCGGCAUUGUAGUUUAAUUCUCAACAGAACAUGACACUUUUGAAUUUGCCUACAGAGCUGGGCAGAAAUCAACGAAAUAUUGUGAAGGAAAAAUUCUCAUGAACAUGCCGCCCAAAUCCCUACGCUGAGGCAGGAUGGUAUGACCAAGGUUUAACUUACCUUCACAUGGAAAGACAAUAAAUGGAUUUUGUUUUUUCUUCAA